Pistacia vera is the source of this 398-nucleotide long non-coding RNA. RefSeq lists it as uncharacterized. NCBI's taxonomy places the organism in Eukaryota, Viridiplantae, Streptophyta, Magnoliopsida, Sapindales, Anacardiaceae. The transcript has 4 exons. The record is from RefSeq and is a predicted model, not a curated record.
UGGGGUCUUGCUGACGUGGAAAGUAAUCCUCCAAAUCAACCUCAGAGUCGUUAUUCUGAACCAGAUAAUCGUGACUGGCGCCGUCCUGCACAGUUUUCUCCCUCUGGAGAGGAGAGAUCACGAGACAAUAGAGAGUAUGGUGGACGAUAUGAGUCCAGACAGGAUGCAAAUCAAUUUAAUCGCCAAGACCUCAAUCACCAAUUUUCAAGGGCACAAAUCUCGUCUAACCAAGGGGGACCAGCUCCUGUUUUGGUCAAGGCUGAGGUUCCAUGGUCGGCUAAAAGGGGAGGUCUCUCUGACAAGGAACGUGUCUUGAAGACUGUAAAGGGUAUUUUGAAUAAACUUACCCCUGAGAAAUUUGAUCUACUUAAGGGUCAACUCAUAGACUCUGGCAUCAC